RNAcentral lists this ribosomal RNA (491 nucleotides) under uncultured bacterium. Its description in RNAcentral is "bacterial SSU rRNA". It matches the Rfam family "Bacterial small subunit ribosomal RNA", at positions 903 to 1397 of the family's 1533-position model. The record is from RNAcentral.
AAAUGAAUUGACGGGGGCCCGCACAAGCAGCGGAGCAUGUGGCUUAAUUCGAAGCAACGCGAAGAACCUUACCAGGGCUUGACAUGGUAGUGAAGCGGUGGAAACACCGUGGCCGAAAGGAGCUACCACAGGUGGUGCAUGGCUGUCGUCAGCUCGUGUCGUGAGAUGUUGGGUUAAGUCCCGCAACGAGCGCAACCCUUGUCGUAUGUUGCCAGCACGUAAUGGUGGGAACUCAUGCGAGACCGCCGGCGUCAAGCCGGAGGAAGGUGGGGACGACGUCAAGUCAUCAUGCCCUUUAUGUCCUGGGCUGCACACGUGCUACAAUGACCGGCACAACGGGCUGCGAACCUGCGAAGGUAAGCGAAUCCCUUAAAACCGGUCCCAGUUCGGAUCGGAGGCUGCAACUCGCCUCCGUGAAGUCGGAGUUGCUAGUAAUCGCGGAUCAGCAUGCCGCGGUGAAUCCGUUCCCGGGCCUUGUACACACCGCCCGU